Molecule: ribosomal RNA, 389 nt
Filed under: Praon flavinode
Lineage: Eukaryota; Metazoa; Arthropoda; Insecta; Hymenoptera; Braconidae
Description: partial 16S ribosomal RNA
Source: RNAcentral
AAAACAUGUCUUAUUGAUUAUAAUUUUAAGUCUAAUCUGCCCAAUGAUUUUUAUUUAAUGGCUGCAGUAUUUAUAACUGUACAAAGGUAGCAUAAUAAUUAGUUUUUUAAUUGAAAACUAGAAUGAAAGAUUAAAUGAAAUAUACACUAUAUAAAUAAAAUUAAAAAUUAAAAUUAAAAUUUAAGUAAAAAUUCUUAAAUUAUUUUAAAAGACGAGAAGACCCUAUAGAAUUUUAUUUUUUAUUAUUUUAAAAUUGAUUAAUAAAUUAAAAUAAAUCAUAAAAAAUUUAAUUGGGGUAAUUUUAAAAUUAAAUUAAUUUUUAUUUUAAAAACAUAAAUUAAUGAAUUUUUAAUCUUAAAAUUUAGAUUAAAAAAAUAAAUUACCUUAGG